ACGUGAAACCUUGUGGGAAGCAGGGAGGACCACCUCCCAAGGCUAAAUACUACCUGAUGACCGAUAGUGAAGCAGUACCGUGAGGGAAAGGUGAAAAGAACCCCGGGAGGGGAGUGAAAUAGAACCUGAAACCGUGUGCCUACAACCGCUCAGAGCCCCUUAUGAGGGUGAUGAGGUGCUUUUUGUAGAACGAGCCAACGAGUUACGGUAUGUAGCAAGGUUAAGUACUUAAGGUACGGAGCCGAAGGGAAACCGAGUCUGAAUAGGGCGACUAGUUGCAUGCCGUAGACCCGAAACCGGGUGACCUAUCCAUGGCCAGGUUGAAGCGAGGGUAAAACCUCGUGGAGGACCGAACCACGUUGCUGUUGAAAAAGCAUGGGAUGAGCUGUGGAUAGCGGAGAAAUUCCAAUCGAACCCGGAGAUAGCUGGUUCUCUCCGAAAUAGCUUUAGGGCUAGCGUCGAGUAUGAGUAGUGGAGGUAGAGCACUGAAUGGGCUAGGGGGCAUAGCGCUUACCGAACCUUAUCAAACUCCGAAUGCCACAUACUUUGAGCUCGGCAGUCAGACUACGAAUGAUAAGAUCCGUGGUCAAAAGGGAAACAGCCCAGAUCGUCAGCUAAGGUCCCAAAGUGUAAGUUAAGUGGGAAAGGAUGUGAGAUUUCUAAGACAACUAGGAUGUUGGCUUAGAAGCAGCCAUUCAUUAAAAGAGUGCGUAAUAGCUCACUAGUCGAGAGAUCUUGCGCCGAAAAUGUAACGGGGCUAAACUUACCACCGAAGCUACGGGCUUGAACUUAGUUCAAGCGGUAGGAGAGCGUCGUAACCGGGCUGAAGUCGUACCGUAAGGAGCGGUGGACUGGUUACGAGUGAGAAUGUUGGCAUCAGUAGCGAGAUGUGGGUGAGAAUCCCACAGGCCGAAAACCUAAGGUUUCCUCAGGAAGGUUCGUCCGCUGAGGGUUAGUCGGGACCUAAGCCGAGGCCGAAAGGCGUAGGUGAUGGACAACUGGUUGAUAUUCCAGUACCACUACCAUCGUUAUUAUCGAUGGCGUGACGCAGGAGGAUAGUGUGUGCUAGCUAUUGGAUGCUAGUCUAAGCGUUUAGGCAGUGAGAGUAGGCAAAUCCGCUCUCAUAAUGCUGAGGCGUGAUGGGGAAGGUUCUACGGAACCGAAGUACAUGAUUCCACGCUGCCAAGAAAAGCGUCUAGAGAGAGAAGUAGUGCCCGUACCGCAAACCGACACAGGUAGGUGAGGAGAGAAUCCUAAGGCCGGCGGAAGAAUUACAGUUAAGGAACUCGGCAAAUUGACCCCGUAAGUUCGCGAGAAGGGGUGCCUACGAGAGUAGGCCGCAGAGAAUAGGCCCAAGCAACUGUUUAGCAAAAACACAGGUCUCUGCUAAAGCGUAAGCUGAUGUAUAGGGGCUGACGCCUGCCCGGUGCUGGAAGGUUAAGGGGAACACUUAGCGCAAGCGAAGGUGUGAACUUAAGCCCCAGUAAACGGCGGCCGUAACUAUAACGGUCCUAAGGUAGCGAAAUUCCUUGUCAGGUAAGUUCUGACCCGCACGAAUGGCGUAAUGACUUGGGCACUGUCUCAACUGUAAAUCCGGCGAAGUUGUAGUGCGAGUGAAGAUGCUCGCUACCCGCGAUUGGACGGAAAGACCCCGUAGAGCUUUACUGUAGCUUAGCAUUGAGUUUUGGUAUUGUCUGUACAGGAUAGGUGGGAGACUAGGAAACCAGGGCGUCAGCCUUGGUGGAGUCAACCUUGGGAUACCACCCUGACAGUACUGAAAUUCUAACUGGCGGCCAUGAAUCUGGUCACAGGACAUUGUUAGGUGGGCAGUUUGACUGGGGCGGUCGCCUCCUAAAAAGUAACGGAGGCGCCCAAAGGUUCCCUCAGAACGGUCGGAAAUCGUUCGAAGAGUGCAAAGGCAGAAGGGAGCCUGACUGCGACACCCACAAGUGGAGCAGGGACGAAAGUCGGGCUUAGUGAUCCGGUGGUACCUCGUGGGAGGGCCAUCGCUCAACGGAUAAAAGCUACCUCGGGGAUAACAGGCUGAUCUCCCCCAAGAGUCCACAUCGACGGGGAGGUUUGGCACCUCGAUGUCGGCUCGUCGCAUCCUGGGGCUGAAGUAGGUCCCAAGGGUUGGGCUGUUCGCCCAUUAAAGCGGCACGCGAGCUGGGUUCAGAACGUCGUGAGACAGUUCGGUCCCUAUCCGUCGCGGGCGUAGGAAAUUUGAGAGGAGCUGUCCUUAGUACGAGAGGACCGGGAUGGACUGACCUCUGGUGUACCAGUUGUUCCGCCAGGAGCACAGCUGGGUAGCUAAGUCGGGAAUGGAUAAACGCUGAAAGCAUCUAAGCGUGAAGCCAACCUCAAGAUGAGAUUUCCCAUAGCGUAAGCUAGUAAGAUCCCUUGAAGAACACAAGGUUGAUAGGUCGGGGGUGUAAGCAUGGUAACAUGUUCAGCUGACCGAUACUAAUAGAUCGAGGGCUUGACCAAAU
RNAcentral lists this ribosomal RNA (2489 nucleotides) under Clostridium perfringens. Its description in RNAcentral is "partial 23S ribosomal RNA". It matches the Rfam family "Bacterial large subunit ribosomal RNA", at positions 424 to 2925 of the family's 2925-position model. The record is from RNAcentral. Lineage: Bacteria; Bacillati; Bacillota; Clostridia; Eubacteriales; Clostridiaceae.